GGUAAUAGUGGCUUCUGCACCAAACACACAGAGGUCAUCACUGAGGUGUCGCCUGCCAGCUUGUGUCUCUCCUGGGCUGGGAAGACAGACGGAAAAACAGACAGCAGGCAGACGAACAGGUACAGAUGUACAACAACCCCAUGGCCUCCCCAGCAACAUUCGGGGCAACCUGCUGCCAACGGUACUCCUAGUCCUGCUGGACGAUGUUCAGCCGCGAGGCCACCAGGCCCUCCAUUGGGGAGAACUUCCUCAUGUCCCACAGCUUGAUGGACUGGUCCUUUUGAGUUACUGAUCAGAGAACGUGCAUCGCCCUGCAAGGUGAGAGAGGAAGAUUAUAAUUAAUCUGUAUCUUCCUGACAGGGAUGAGGAGUCAACAGGCACACAGAGAAGGUUUAUAAUGAAUCUGUAUCUUCCUGACAGGGAUGAUGAGUCAACAGGCACACAGAGAAGGUUUAUAAUGAACCUGUAUCUUCCUGACAGGGAUGAGGAGUCAACAGGCACACAGAGAAGGUUUAUUUAUACCUUAAUGUACACAGUAUCAGGAUGAAGUGGUUAGAGUUUUAGACCCUGUCCAAAUACAAAAAAAUGCAUCCUUCCUCACUAUCGAAGUGCUUGCUGAUUGGUCAAACAGCACUGCAUAGCUUUCACCUGUCCAGUUAUAUCAGAACAGUGCAUUUAUGUAUAAACAGUAAAUUGUCCCAUGUAUGUGUUUAGGCUUUGAUAUCGAUGAUUACAUACACAGUAAGAGAAUGUAAGAGAGUGAUUGCAUAUGCUGGACGCAUACACACGGUAGUGGUUCUCCUCUAUUACCUUGCUGUGGAUGAAGGUGAUACAGUCUCUGUGUCCAGACAGCUGGCCCACCGGCUUGGGUCUGUCCUCCCGCAGCGUCAGUCUGUCCCACACCUUGCAGAGCGUGUCGUCGCUGCCUGAGAACAGCAGCUGGGACGAGCUGUCGGCAAACGCCACUGUGUUCACAUCGUGGUCGUGAGCUUUGAUCUGAGGAGACAGAUGGGGGGGGGGCAGAUGGCAGAGGUCAACAACACGGUGAUGUGGGUCAUGACAAAGGGUCCCAAGAGAACAGGAUUGUUCUGUAUCGUCAGCUAAAACCUGAGGUGGUGGUGUGAAGCUUACAGUGGGGAGACAGAGGGUGACCAGGUUGUGACUGGAUACUUGCAAUGCCAAUGUCCAUAGGCGGGCAGACACACACUUGAAGAGUUCUCUUAUUCUGUUCCCGAUCGAUGACAUAGAAGCAGCCAUCAUUAGCUAGGCUCUAAAACGCAACAAACUAUUUUAUUUUCAAAUGUCUCGGAAAAUGUCAAAUUGGAAUGAAAUAUAUUGGGUGCACUCACUCUCCAAUGACCCCUUUCCCUCUGGAGGCAACCAGAGAGAAGACACAGAACCUGUUCUUAUCUGGGCUAAGAGGGAAGAACAGAACAUUAACCAGCCUCAGCCAGAGAGAAGACACAGAACCUUAUCUGGGCUAAGAGGGAAGAACAGAACAUUAACCAGCCUCAGCCAGAGAGAAGACACAGAAC
Long non-coding RNA from Oncorhynchus gorbuscha (pink salmon), 1535 nucleotides. RefSeq lists it as uncharacterized. Lineage: Eukaryota; Metazoa; Chordata; Actinopteri; Salmoniformes; Salmonidae. The transcript is spliced from 3 exons. The record is from RefSeq and is a predicted model, not a curated record.